RNAcentral lists this ribosomal RNA (188 nucleotides) under uncultured bacterium. RNAcentral describes it as "partial 16S ribosomal RNA". It matches the Rfam family "Bacterial small subunit ribosomal RNA", at positions 1307 to 1500 of the family's 1533-position model. The record is from RNAcentral.
GCAACUCGACUCCAUGAAGCUGGAUUCGCUAGUAAUCGCGCAUCAGCCAUGGCGCGGUGAAUACGUUCCCGGGCCUUGUACACACCGCCCGUCAAGCCAUGGGAGUCGGGAGUGCCUGAAGUUCGUGACCGUCACAGGAGCGACCUAAGGCAAGACCGAUGACUGGGGCUAAGUCGUAACAAGGUAUC